This 344-nucleotide long non-coding RNA is filed under the name Homo sapiens (human). RNAcentral's name for it is "long non-coding RNA NONHSAT140580.2". The record is from RNAcentral. Lineage: Eukaryota; Metazoa; Chordata; Mammalia; Primates; Hominidae.
AGGGAGGCAGGAAACCGUGGAACUGACACUCAAGGGGAAUGUCUUUGCAAGUCCUAUGCACGACUCCAAGCAGCAAUUUCUGGGGUUUGGAGAUUUGUUAGUUUUGCGACGUAUUCCCCCCAAAAGAAGACAUGAAGUGCGGAUGGUGCUGAGGAAGGCCCAGUGGCCGCCUGGUAAGGUCCUGGAACCGACAUUUACCCAGCACCGGCGGUGGACGGUGAGCGGCGUCUGGGCCCAGAGCUGGGUGCCAUCAGCAGUAAGAGGACCCCUGCGCUCGCGGGGUGCCCGCCUUACCCCGCGGGGAGGGGUCAGGCCUAGGGGCCACGGCCCGCUUCGCUCUCUGA